GAUGAACGCUGGCGGCGUGCCUAAUACAUGCAAGUCGAGCGAACAGACGAGGAGCUUGCUCCUCUGACGUUAGCGGCGGACGGGUGAGUAACACGUGGAUAACCUACCUAUAAGACUGGGAUAACUUCGGGAAACCGGAGCUAAUACCGGAUAAUAUAUUGAACCGCAUGGUUCAAUAGUGAAAGACGGUUUUGCUGUCACUUAUAGAUGGAUCCGCGCCGCAUUAGCUAGUUGGUAAGGUAACGGCUUACCAAGGCGACGAUGCGUAGCCGACCUGAGAGGGUGAUCGGCCAGACUGGAUCUGAGACAGGGUCCAGACUCCGACGGGAGGCAGCAGUAGGGAAUCUUCCGCAAUGGACGAAAGCCGGACGGAGCAACGCCGCGUGAGUGAUGAAGGUCUUCGGAUCGUAAAACUCUGUUAUUAGGGAAGAACAAAUGUGUAAGUAACUAUGCACGUCUUGACGGUACCUAAUCAGAAAGCCACGGCUAACUACGUG
Molecule: ribosomal RNA, 497 nt
Filed under: uncultured bacterium
Lineage: Bacteria
Description: partial 16S ribosomal RNA
Rfam family: Bacterial small subunit ribosomal RNA
Source: RNAcentral